CUCUGUCUCAAAAAAAAAAAAAAAAGUUCGCUCUGUAUGUUUUUGGUAUUUGUACUGAAGUGCAGAUAAAUUUGCAAGAUGCAAAAAUAGUUUGCCCUAUUUUACAGACAACAUUAUGAAAAUAACUACUGUUGAUUCAUUCUCAGAAGAAUAGCUGAAGAAGAUUCAGGGGCAGAGAUUACAGAGGGAAGACAGACAAUGCAAGUUGAAGCUCACAGGACAAGGGCACUGAUUGUGUCUCUGUGUGUGUGCAUGCACAAAUGCACAAAAGAAACAGAGUAAGAGCAGAAGCUGAUGUGGUCUAACACAGGAGUCCUCAAACCCCAGGCCACAGACUGGAAGGUGUGUUAGGAACCUGGCCGCACAGCAGGAGUUGAGCAGCAGGUGAGCAUUACAGCCUGAGCUCUGCCUCCUGUCAGAUCAGCAGUGACAUCAAAUUAUCAUAGGAGAAGGAACGCUACUGUGAACUGUGCAUGCAAGGGAUCUAGGUUGUGUGCUCCUUAUGAGGAUCUAAUGCUUGAGGUGGAAUAGUUUCAUCCUGAAACCAUCUCCCCUACUGGUCCAUGGAAAGACUAUCUUCUAUAAAACUGGGCCCUGGUGCCAAAAAGGUUGGUGACUGCCAUUCUAACAGGCUUAUUUGAAAAAUCAGCAUAUUCAUUAGAUUGAAAAUGGUGAAUUUAAAACAUACUCUCUUUCUGAAACAGUCUCCCUAUUUGGGGCUCAAUAGAAAUGUUUCCAAAUUACUAUAGUUUUAUUUUUUACAUAGUGGCAACUAUAUAAAAUUAAUCUCUUAUUUUAUAAAUAUCCGAUGGAAAUGUUUUUAACUAAUGGCUCUAUUUAACUUGCGUUUUUUUUUUUCUUGCACCUUAUGGAGGCAGGGGUCAUACCUCCUAAUUCAAGAAAUGGCCAAUAGGAUGAAUUCUAAAAUAUUUGUUUCAAGAAUAUAAAAUGUAAAGAUGAGAAAUACCUAGUAUCACUAAAACUUUGCCAUAUGGUCAAUUAACAUCAUCUCUCUGGACAACUGAAGUGAGAGCAAACAGACCCCAGAAAUGGACUCCCUAUUUUAGUCAUUUUCUCAUGUUAUACAUAGCUUCUAAUAUGUGUUUUAUGAAAGAACAUUUAUAAAUGACACGAAGAAAAACACACUUAGGCUUUAACAAGCUUAUUCCUGGCUGACGAUAAGAUUUUCUUUUUUAAUUGUUAAAUAUUUAGGCAAACCAAAAUAUUUACGUUUACCUGGAAAAAACAAAAACCGCUUUCAUUUUGGAAAUGCCAUAAGCAACACUACCCUUAUCCUAACAGCACAAAACCACUGGCUGUUGCGCAUCCCUGACUAUGGGACUGUCUGAGCACCUCCCUUCCAAAGUGAUACAAACACUUUCUUCAAGACGGUGUUGUUAGAAAGCUGAGUGCCGCCUUUGUGCUACUUGCCACAGGCUGUUAGAGGACAAAAAUGCAUACUUAUUUUUCUUUUAUUUUCCUUUCCAGAAAGGCAUCAAAAGAAAGCCUAAGUGUGAAAUAAUACUCAUCAUUAAGAAGUAAAGAGCCACACAAAUCAACAGUUUGGCUUAGAUUAGAUUAAUCUCUUAUUUUGCCCAAAUAUUAUCUUAAAGUCUGAAAAAAUGUCUAAUUCAACUAAGAAGAAAUUUACUCUAAUAAUUAUAUAAAGACAGGAAAACAACAAAUAUAGGAACAAAUUGAAGGAUGUCUAAAUCUGCUGUUAUCACAGGCUGAUUUUCCACAUGUAUGCAUAAAUUGGCAUGCCACCUUUCAUUCUGUCUGUUUGAGAGAUUGAUUGUUUUCCCUAAGGAGCUGAUCGUAUAUUAUUCUGGGAAGCCUGAGUGUUAUCUUACAGGCUACAGAGAACACUACAGGAACUGUCCAAGUCGUGCUAUUAUCUGGUUUAAUUUUCAGGAAUAUGACCCUGGUAGCAAUAAAAGAAAAAAAAUGGCAGGAAUGUUUGAAGGAAGUCCCUAAAACUAUGUAGGCAAGAGAUAAUGAGGCACUGGAGGAGGUGGGGGACCCCAAGCAGCAAGGCUGGAAGACUCUCCCUAUAAAUGGGCAGGUGGGUGAGAAGAGGAGAAGUGAAAGUUUAUAUUUUCUUUUUUAGUAGAUUUUUAAAAUUUUAUAUUUGUGUUCUUUAAGGUUAUAUGGAUGGGUUUGAUAGUUUAAUUUAUGCUUUUUAAAUUUAAUGUUUAAAUGUGUAUAGUAAUCUGAGGAUAGCAAGUGAAUGUGGAAUUAAAAAGAACAAAAGGAAAAAGAAGCAGACACAAUGUCAUGUUACUCCUUUAACAUUUUUAGCGAAUGAAAUAAAUUUUAAAUAGAUAGGCUACCUUUUAUUUAUUUUUUCAUGGGUAUAAAAACAUGCUUUCUAUUUUAAUUUGCCUUUUUGCGUAGACUAAAAUUUCCCUUUGAGUCUAAUGAUAUUAAGAGGAGUGAUAGUAAGUAGAAAAGAAAACAAAAGGAAUAAAAUAUUCUAUCAAGUUAGGGGAAAAGCCUGUCUUUCCUUUAGUUUUGUAAUCAUUACUCAAUAAUUAAUUAUUGAUCCUGGAGUUUUCGAAUUUGGGAAAUGACAUGAAUGCUGAGUCAAGAAUAUAAGCAAUGAACCUCUAUGAAGGGAAGAUAAACCCUUCAGUUGAGAGUCUCAGGUUGAAUAUGUCAAGGAGAAGCCUGGAAUACAGACCAGGUGCUGCUGCCAGUGGGAGAGGGAAAAAGUGGCCAUGGGGAGCUCCUCCCUGCGACCUGAGGCCCCUCAAAGCUGUUUAGCACACUAAAUACACGCGUAAUGAAUCAAGCAUACAAAGAAACAGUUAGGAUGUUUAGCACAUCUCUAUCUUCCUCAAGCAGGCACCCUUCUUAUUCCUGCAAUCAUGGCUACAAAAUUUCAUGUUUGUAGAAACAGGCUGGGAAAUGCUGAACUGCACAGAAAGGUAGUCUAGAGGAAGGAAAUGCUGAACUGCAUAGAAAGGCAGUCUAGAGGAAGGAGCAUCUGCUUUGAAGUCAGUCAGUCCUGAGUUGGAGUUCUGGAUAUCUACUUUCUAAAUGCAACCUCGGGCCUACUAUAUAUCCUCUCUGCACCUCAGUUCCCCUACCUGUACAAUGAGAGGGUUUGAUACCCUCAUCUAGGGGUUAAGGUAGAAUGACCACAUUUCCUCAACUUCCUAGGAUAGUGUUUGUUUAUAUCCUUUGCCUCUAAGUCAUUAACAGUGUUCCCUUUCAUUCUAAAAUGGUCCCAAUUUGAAAAAAUUAUAUGCUCCCUCCUCAUCAUAAGGAUAUUAAAUGAUUUGAUGUGUGUAAAGCCAGCAUUGAGCUUUUAGUCAUCAUGUUCCUUCCUCCUAUCAGUAUGUGAAAGAAAGAGGAAAAUUUGGCAGAAUUAUCAUUACUGUAGCCUCGCUUAAUGACACACCUGGGAUACAAAAGCACCCAGCAUUCCUAUUUCAUGGACACUUAGGUAAAGCACUUUAAUAAAGUGCUUUACAGAGGGUAAUCUAAGGAAGAAAAUUUCACCUCCAUUAAAAGAAAAGACAAAAUUCUUCAUUUUAAGGUUACAUGUGGAAAAAGGAAAUCGAUGAUAGUUUGCAAAAAUACUACUGAAAAGUAUCAUACUUGACAGCAGAUGUUCCAGUUUAUCCUCUGCAUAUACAGAAAAAUAGCCUAAGGUUAAUGAGAAUCACCACUAUAUAAUACAUACACAUACACACACAUAUGUGUCUGUAUAUAUAUAUAUAUACACACACACACAUAUAUACAUUAUAUAUAUGUAUGUGUAUAUGUGUGUGUGUGUGUAUAUAUAGACAGAUAGAGAGAUGUAGUAAUUGUAGAUGUGCAAUCAGUUGCUUACUUAGAAUAACCUGCUUCACUGAUAAAAACAACUGGGUAAAUUCUGAUUGUUUUGUUAAGUUUAUCUGCAUUUAAAACAUUAUAAAUGCCCUGACUUAUAAAUAUUGAAAACAAAGCUAAAAUAUUAGUUACUAAUUCUCUUAGUCCAUUCUUACCUCCCUGAAAUGAAAUACAUGAGGCUGGGUAAUUUAUAAGGAAAAACUGUUUAAUUGGCUCAGAGUUCUACAUGCUGUACAAGAUGUGUGGUGCUGGCAGCUGCUCCUAGUGAGAGUCUCAGGAAGCUUACCAGUGCUUGCGGAAAGUGAAGAGGGAGCAGGCAUGUCACCUGAAAAACAGGGAGCAAGAGGGGCAGGGGGAGUGGCAUGUUCUUUUAAACAACCAGAUCUCACAGGAACUCAGAGUGCUAACUCACUAACCGAAGGGAUGGUGCUAAGCCAUUCACGGAAUCUGCCUCCAUGGUCCAAUCCCCUCCCACCAGGCCCUACCUCCAACAUUGAGAAUCACAUUUCAACAUGAGAUAUGGAGGAGACAAACAUCCAAAGCAAAACAUUAAUGCUGAGAAUUUAAUGGAAAUGCAGCAGUGUUAUUCUGAGCAUCAAGAAAAAUGAUCUGGAAGCAUCAAUAUUUAACAGAUUUAUGAUGUGUUUGAUACCAGAUAAGUAGCUGGACAUCUGUAGUUUUGAAGAAACUUUUGGUGGUGAAAUUUUAGAAAAUUUAGAAAUUUUAGAAAAAUUAACAUCUUUACAAACUUUUGUAGUCACACUGAAAAUAUGAAGGAAAAAUAAAAAAAAUUUGUUUAUUAUGCUCUAAGCUUGUUUAUGAACAAAAAAACCAGGGAAACAAAAACAGCCACCCAGAAAGUAGACAUGGUGUAACUAUUGACAGAAUGUCUCUAAUGAAGCUGCAAAGAGCUCAGAGAGAAAGCCAUUGACUGGGAAUCAGAAGACUGGUUUUUAUUUUCAGCUCUGCCACAACCUGACCAUGAGAUCUCAAAUGGAACUUCUUUGGGCUUCAUUUUCACUGGCUAUAAACUAAAUGGUCUGGAAUCUCUAGUUCCAACAUUUCUUCUAUCAACAGUGUUCCAUGAUCCCAUGGUUCCUUAGUGUAGAGAUUAGUAACAUCCAACACAUCUUCUGGGCUCCUCUGCAUCCUUGUGUCAAUUUAAGACCAUCACUUUCCCACUCCCACCAAUUCCUUGUGCUCCAGCACCACCCGUAGGGCUCCCAGACCCUGCUGGUCCAAAUACAGGUAUCUAAUUGCUCCUCCUCACACCACUGUAGUGAGUCUCUGUGUUCUCCAUGGCAUGCUCCCAUCCAACUUCACCUGGGUGACAAGAGAUUGGUAGGUACUGAAAGGAUACACUGCAAGAAUUAGGAUGCUCUGCAUUCCAGUCUCAACUCUCUCCCCCAAAAGAAGCCCAGGUCCCUUUGAAAUGAUGCCACAUUUUCUACACAAGUGGCAAUAAUUAAACACUUAAUCAAAAGUUCUCUUUCUAUUGCAAUAACUUAUUUACUCAAAAAAAAAAAAAGACAAAGCUAGAGCUGAAAGGCAAUUUUUCACUUCAGGAGAAUUUGUCAAGUCUCUUACUACACUGCUGCAUAAGCUUGGCUUGGAGAGCCACAAUUUAUCAUCUGACCUUCGCUUGCUGAUACUGCCUUCAGGUCCGCAUUUCUGUGAGUAGCACACAGAUGGGCUCUGUGGGAUCUCACAAGAUCCAUCCAUACAAGUAGUGAACUCUCCAUUUCAGGAGCAAUGGACUAAUGAAUCAGGAAUCGCUCCACUUGGCACCCACGACGGUGGAAUAAUUCAUCACAGCCAACUACAGAGACUAUUACAUCAGGAAUAAAGAAAAGUGAGUGCCAAUUAAGCUUCUUGCUCAGACUAUUAAAGUUACAGCAUUAAUACUGCCCACAAAUCUUUCUAAUAGUUGAUUCAUCUGAAUUAUUGUAUAGUCCAUAGGAAAAGAAUGACAGAAAAAUUGAAUACUGGAUAUAAAAAAUGACAAACUUAUUUUGAUAACAUAUUUAAAAGCACCAUGCUUACUCUGAUGCAGAAGAUGCUAUUUAUAGCUUAAUUGUGUCAAAGAGUGAACAUUACAAUUAGCACUCUAUCCUUGCCACGUUUUUUUGUGAACUCUUCUAAGAUAAUUAGUAUGAUUGCCUAAGGCUGUGGGAGUAUAAAUGUCCUCUUUUUACUGCUGGAAAUGUUAUUGUUGUUGCUAUUUGGGUCAAGUAUCUUAAAACUUCCCAGAAAGGAUUUUUCAGAAAUAAUUCUGGGAGGCAAGUGAAGAAAUUGCCAGAG
RNAcentral lists this long non-coding RNA (6141 nucleotides) under Homo sapiens (human). RNAcentral's name for it is "HSALNT0329461". The record is from RNAcentral. Lineage: Eukaryota; Metazoa; Chordata; Mammalia; Primates; Hominidae.